RNAcentral lists this ribosomal RNA (466 nucleotides) under uncultured bacterium. Its description in RNAcentral is "partial 16S ribosomal RNA". It matches the Rfam family "Bacterial small subunit ribosomal RNA", at positions 28 to 507 of the family's 1533-position model. The record is from RNAcentral.
GAUGAACGCUGGCGGCGUGCUUAACACAUGCAAGUCGAACGAUGAAGCCCAGCUUGCUGGGUGGAUUAGUGGCGAACGGGUGAGUAACACGUGAGUAACCUGCCCUUGACUCUGGGAUAAGCCUGGGAAACUGGGUCUAAUACUGGAUAUGACUUCUCAUCGCAUGGUGGGGGGUGGAAAAAUUUAUUGGUCUUGGAUGGACUCGCGGCCUAUCAGCUUGUUGGUGAGGUAAUGGCUCACCAAGGCGACGACGGGUAGCCGGCCUGAGAGGGUGACCGGCCACACUGGGACUGAGACACGGCCCAGACUCCUACGGGAGGCAGCAGUGGGGAAUAUUGCACAAUGGGCGCAAGCCUGAUGCAGCGACGCCGCGUGAGGGAUGACGGCCUUCGGGUUGUAAACCUCUUUCAGUAGGGAAGAAGCGAGAGUGACGGUACCUGCAGAAGAAGCGCCGGCUAACUACGUG